UGACAUCCCAUAAUCACUCUCUUACAGAUAAGUCUGGCUAGAAACUAUACUCGUAGACAUACAGAUAUAUAUACACAUGACCUUGUUAAGUAGCUCCGUGAAAAUAAUAUUUGCUUCAGCAAGGUGUACAAUAUAAUUUAUACACUCGGAUUGCCACCAUAAAACGUUCUCUUGGAUAUAGCUUUUCGGUGCCACCAAAAAUUGUUUCUAUUGGUGUCGAUGAUCACUCGUAAAAUGAAAAGAAUUGGGUGGUGUGUUGAAAUUGUGAGAUAGCCAUGUAGGACGAGGUGCUCUAUUGUACUUGAGUAAGGAUCUGGAGUAUUAGUCGUGUUCUUGCCUGAAGGACUUACUUUUAGACUAGACUAUUUACAGAUCAGAGACUGACAUUCACAUGUGAAUUACUUAAUUCCAUAUGUUACAACUUAAUACCGUACUUAGUACAGUACUAUUACUGACUUUGGUUUAUUGAGUGACCUUGCAUCAGUACCAUAUUUAGCAUCUAUAGAACACUUGUGUAGUUUCUUGGUUUUAAACAUUUAAUCAGCUUCCAUCCACUUCAAAUGUAGUUAAUUGGCCUUAGUUUUAUCAGCAGUCCAUUACUCCCUCUGUUCCAAAAUAGAUGACUCAACUUUGUAUUAACUUUAGUAUAAAGUUGGGUCAUCUAUUUUGGAACGGAGGGAGUAUUUGAUAAUUGAUAGACUUAGAAUUGAAGUAGCUUUUGUACAGCAUGGCAGCUGCUGUCGAAUAUGAAUGAUGAUUGAUGAAUGCUUGCUCCUUGUACUGCUUGCCGUUAGGUAGCAUGGCAUGGGGGGACGAGGAUCAAUCAAGCACUUGAUAAAAGAGACACCAAAUGGGGAAGUAUUAUCUAUUCUGAUCUCUUUCUCAUUAAUUUUCUAUCUUAACUCUAUAUUUACAUGGCAUAUUUUUAUUUUAUUUCAUAUAUACUCGCCGUAUUUCUGAAUGGCUGUUUCUGGAACAUGUCGUAUCCUAUGUCCCCGUAUGCGUAUCCCCGUCUUUCCGUCCCCGUGUCCAUGCUUUUUAGCUUAUUACUACCUAUAUUUGUGAAAUGUCUUAAUGUUGUUGUGCUAUAUUUACGAAAUUUUAUACAUCAGAUUGUGUGCUUAAUACUGCUACACUUGCAAAAUGUCCGAUGAGCGGUUUCGGAUAUGAUAAGUUUGAAUGGGUACAAUGCAGCUGGGACUAACCAAAUAGUUAAUCAAUAGCAGGGAUUACAAGGUUGCUAGGGAAUCAACCUCCACAAAGAUUGAUUGACAAGUACGGGAUCAACCCAAUCACUGGGUGGAUUAGUUCCACUAGGGGAUUGGCCGGUCCCCCUAUAACCAAACAAGGCCUACGGUUGUCCUGCAUCUGGUGGAACAUCGUAACAAAGAUGGACUUUGCCUUAAACAUGUAGCCAGUUUCAGAAAUGGUGUUCAUCGUGUACUUUGUUUUUCCUGUAGGGCAGCACGGGUGAUGAAAGCUAACACGUCAUCGGAGCAGCAUGCGAGUGAGGUGUACACUAGGGCCCAUGUUCGAGAAGUUUGGCCAGAUACUGUAGGAAGCAGGGCAGUACAGGGUCGAACCUGUUGAGCAAGGCAUGAAGUACCUAGUGCGGCGGCACAAUCCGGAGAGGCAUGACAAACGGUGCAAGGUGGUGUAUGAGGUCACAGUUGAUGGAGGGGGUGAUCAGUUUCUAUGCGAGUGCGGCAACUUCGAGCACACGAGAAUGUUGUGCAGUCAUUCACUGAAGGCACAUAAAAUUUGUUCAAAUGCUUCAUGCCUAUAGCGACAGUGUUUAAUGGACCAACAUGUGACAUCUCGAUUAAUGAUGCUACUCAGGUGCAAGUCAUGGAUUUUAUGGGAGUCACGGAGACACACCAGACAGAGGUGACAUGCUGAAGAAACCGAGGAGGUAGCUGAAAUGCACCCACUGUGCCGUAGGUGGUCACCGGCGAAACAUGUGCGGAAACCCAAGUAUGGUGCUUCAUGCAGUGCCUCCUGCUGAAACCCCAAUCCGGCUGGAGGUGACAGUUGUGUAGUUAGCUUUGUUUCUAGUUUUGCGUCCAAUUUGUACAAUUUGAUUUUGUCUUGUGAGCUAGUAGGAUAGUAGGAUUUUCCUAAACCUGUGUGCAUUUAACGUAACCCUGUGUCACCCGCAAAAUAAGCUACAACUAUUGUGAAAAAUUAUGAUUGUUAACGAGGCAUGUUCGUAUAUUUUCUCAGAUCA
Molecule: long non-coding RNA, 2227 nt
Organism: Triticum aestivum (bread wheat)
Lineage: Eukaryota; Viridiplantae; Streptophyta; Magnoliopsida; Poales; Poaceae
Exons: 2
Source: RefSeq, a predicted model, not a curated record